This 295-nucleotide long non-coding RNA is filed under the name Elaeis guineensis (African oil palm). RNAcentral describes it as "long non-coding RNA (EGUI_LNC012156)". The record is from RNAcentral. Lineage: Eukaryota; Viridiplantae; Streptophyta; Magnoliopsida; Arecales; Arecaceae.
UGGCAUGUUUUAUAUAUAUUAUAUACAUCAAACUAUCAAUAAUCUUAAUAUAUUAGUUUUGAUUAACAAAGUCCAUUAUUGUUAGGUAAAAACUUGCAAUACAGAUUUAUAGGCAUUUUGCUGGGUUUACAAUCAAAAUAAUCAAAAAUUUUCUUAAAAUUUUUUCAAUAAAAUGAGAUUGUGUCAAACAAAUUCAUUAUUCCUCUUAAAAAUUUUAAUACCUAAAAUCAUAUCCACCGGUCCUAAAUCUUUUAUAUCAAAAGCUUGAGUUAAAAAACUUUUUGUUUCAAUAACA